CAGUAGCCGCGGGAAUACGAAGGGUGCAAGCGUUAAUCGGAAUUACUGGGCGUAAAGCGCGCGUAGGUGGUUUGGUAAGAUGGAUGUGAAAUCCCCGGGCUCAACCUGGGAACUGCAUCCAAAACUGGCAAGCUAGAGUAUGGUAGAGGGUGGUGGAAUUUCCUGUGUAGCGGUGAAAUGCGUAGAUAUAGGAAGGAACACCAGUGGCGAAGGCGACCACCUGGACUGAUACUGACACUGAGGUGCGAAAGCGUGGGGAGCAAACAGGAUUAGAUACCCCGGUAGUCCCUGUCUCUUAUAC
This 301-nucleotide ribosomal RNA is filed under the name uncultured bacterium. RNAcentral describes it as "partial 16S ribosomal RNA". It matches the Rfam family "Bacterial small subunit ribosomal RNA", at positions 509 to 807 of the family's 1533-position model. The record is from RNAcentral.